GUACACUCCUACGGGAGGCAGCAGUGGGGAAUUUUGGACAAUGGGCGAAAGCCUGAUCCAGCAAUGCCGCGUGAGUGAAGAAGGCCUUCGGGUUGUAAAGCUCUUUUGUCAGGGAAGAAACGGUGAAAGCUAAUAUCUUUUGCUAAUGACGGUACCUGAAGAAUAAGCACCGGCUAACUACGUGCCAGCAGCCGCGGUAAUACGUAGGGUGCAAGCGUUAAUCGGAAUUACUGGGCGUAAAGCGUGCGCAGGCGGUUUUGUAAGUCUGAUGUGAAAUCCCCGGGCUCAACCUGGGAAUUGCAUUGGAGACUGCAAGGCUAGAAUCUGGCAGAGGGGGGUAGAAUUCCACGUGUAGCAGUGAAAUGCGUAGAUAUGUGGAGGAACACCGAUGGCGAAGGCAGCCCCCUGGGUCAAGAUUGACGCUCAUGCACGAAAGCGUGGGGAGCAAACAGGAUUAGAAACCCCUGUAGUCCC
This 474-nucleotide ribosomal RNA is filed under the name uncultured organism. RNAcentral describes it as "partial 16S ribosomal RNA". It matches the Rfam family "Bacterial small subunit ribosomal RNA", at positions 331 to 797 of the family's 1533-position model. The record is from RNAcentral.